Biomphalaria glabrata is the source of this 226-nucleotide long non-coding RNA. RefSeq lists it as uncharacterized. NCBI's taxonomy places the organism in Eukaryota, Metazoa, Mollusca, Gastropoda, Planorbidae. The transcript has 3 exons. The record is from RefSeq and is a predicted model, not a curated record.
ACCAGACCUGAAUAAGAAAAAGAACGUAUGUACACAGUGUGUACUUUAGGCUUGUUUCAUAACACUAGAUGUUUACAUAAGGAUGCUGUCUUAAAAUGAAAGAAAUAUUACUAUUAGUUUAUCUUAGUUUUCUACUAAGAAAUUCAGGUACCAUACAGGUUUAUUCAGAAGAAGUGGAAUUACUAUCAUUUCAUUGUACUCCAUUUUAUUCCAAGUCUAUGGAGGU